RNAcentral lists this ribosomal RNA (867 nucleotides) under Coniferiporia weirii. RNAcentral describes it as "eukaryotic LSU rRNA". It matches the Rfam family "Eukaryotic large subunit ribosomal RNA", at positions 66 to 915 of the family's 3401-position model. Lineage: Eukaryota; Fungi; Basidiomycota; Agaricomycetes; Hymenochaetales; Hymenochaetaceae. The record is from RNAcentral.
UAACAAGGAUUCCCCUAGUAACUGCGAGUGAAGCGGGAAAAGCUCAAAUUUAAAAUCUGGCGGUUUUGCCGUCCGAGUUGUAAUCUGGAGAAGCGUUUUCCGCGUCGGACCGUGUACAAGUCUCUUGGAACAGAGCGUCAUAGAGGGUGAGAAUCCCGUCCAUGACACGGACUCCCGGUGCUUUGUGAUACGCUCUCGAAGAGUCGAGUUGUUUGGGAAUGCAGCUCAAAAUGGGUGGUAAAUUCCAUCUAAAGCUAAAUAUUGGCGAGAGACCGAUAGCGAACAAGUACCGUGAGGGAAAGAUGAAAAGCACUUUGGAAAGAGAGUUAAACAGUACGUGAAAUUGUUGAAAGGGAAACGCUUGAAGUCAGUCGCGUCUUACGGGACUCAGCCUUGCCUCGGCUUGGUGUACUUCCUGUAGGACGGGUCAACAUCGAUUUUGACCGGUGGACAAAGGGGAUGGGAAUGUGGCAAUCUUCGGGUUGUGUUAUAGCCCUCUUCCAUAUACAUCGGUUGGGAUCGAAGACCGCAGCGCGCCUUUAUGGCCGGGGGCUUGCCCCACGUACCGCGCUUAGGAUGUUGGCAUAAUGGCUUUAAGCGACCCGUCUUGAAACACGGACCAAGGAGUCUAACAUGCUUGCGAGUGUUAGGGUGGAAAACCCUUGCGCGUAAUGAAAGUGAAAGUUGAGAGCCUUCUUUUGGAGGUGCAUCGACGCCCGGCCCUGAAGUUCUCUGACGGUGCUGCGGUAGAGCACGUAUGUUGGGACCCGAAAGAUGGUGAACUAUGCCUGAAUAGGGCGAAGCCAGAGGAAACUCUGGUGGAGGCUCGUAGCGAUUCUGACGUGCAAAUCGAUCGUCAAAUUUGGG